Molecule: transfer RNA, 89 nt
Filed under: Planctomycetota bacterium
Lineage: Bacteria; Pseudomonadati; Planctomycetota
Description: Planctomycetes bacterium tRNA-Leu
Rfam family: tRNA
About the family: Transfer RNA (tRNA) molecules are approximately 80 nucleotides in length. Their secondary structure includes four short double-helical elements and three loops (D, anti-codon, and T loops).
Source: RNAcentral
GCCGAGGUGGCGGAAUUGGCAGACGCGCUAGGUUCAGGUCCUAGUUCCCUUUAUUGGGAGUGGGGGUUCAAAUCCCCCCCUCGGCAUCA